Molecule: long non-coding RNA, 307 nt
Filed under: Lathyrus oleraceus (garden pea)
Lineage: Eukaryota; Viridiplantae; Streptophyta; Magnoliopsida; Fabales; Fabaceae
Description: Pisum sativum (pea) long non-coding RNA (PSAT_LNC017595)
Source: RNAcentral
AAAGAACCAAUCCUACCUAGAGUCGAAAUACUAACCCUAAAGCAAAACAUCUUCACACCACUAGGAACACUUGAAGAAGUUGAGUGGACGACAACCAAGCAACACCCAUAUAUCAUGCUCAAACCUCGUACCCCUAGUGUUACUGCCACCUUCACCAAACCCUCAAAGAAUCGAUCCAACCUAGAGUUGAGAGACUAACCCAAAAGCGAAGCUUCUUUCCACCACUAGGAACACUUGGAGAAGUUCGUUGGACGGUACCAAAUGGGGAAAGGAAAACAUGGUUGUCAUAUCUAUCGAUGAAGAGAUC